UACAGAGGUCCCAAGCGUUGUUCGGAUUCACUGGGCGUAAAGGGUGCGUAGGCGGUCGGGUAAGUUUGAUGUGAAAUCUCCGGGCUUAACCCGGAAACUGCAUUGAAUACUAUUCGGCUUGAGGUCUGGAGGGGGGACUGGAAUUCUCGGUGUAGCAGUGAAAUGCGUAGAUAUUGAGAGGAACACCAGUGGCGAAGGCGAGUCCCUGGACAGGUCCUGACGCUGAGGCACGAAAGCUAGGGGAGCAAACAGA
Molecule: ribosomal RNA, 253 nt
Filed under: uncultured bacterium
Lineage: Bacteria
Description: partial 16S ribosomal RNA
Rfam family: Bacterial small subunit ribosomal RNA
Source: RNAcentral